Molecule: ribosomal RNA, 202 nt
Filed under: Campylobacter concisus
Lineage: Bacteria; Pseudomonadati; Campylobacterota; Epsilonproteobacteria; Campylobacterales; Campylobacteraceae
Description: partial 16S ribosomal RNA
Rfam family: Bacterial small subunit ribosomal RNA
Source: RNAcentral
UAAUAUGGAGAGUUUGAUCCUGGCUCAGAGUGAACGCUGGCGGCGUGCCUAAUACAUGCAAGUCGAACGGACAAGUAAGAGCUUGCUCUUAUGAGUUAGUGGCGCACGGGUGAGUAAUGUAUAGCUAAUCUGCCCUACACUAGAGGACAACAGUUGGAAACGACUGCUAAUACUCUAUACUCCUCUCUAGCAUAAGUUAGAU